UACUUCGCUAAUCAUUUAUCUACCUCAGUUAAUUUUGCGCACCUAGAAAAUUUUUGCUGUGGUUGCAAUACCACUUUUUUGAGUGUACAAAGGGAUCUCGUUGCUUGAUUGAUCCUAUUUGUGCAGAUAUCAGUUUGACAGAAAUUUCAUUUAGGACUUAAUGGCCGCAGUAUUGAAAGGCAUUGAAAGAUCGCGAUAAAUGAUAAGAGUUACGAGCGGGUUAAGGACGAAAGAAAGAAAGAGAGAAAGGCGGAGAACCGGCCCACGUGCGCGUAAUUGUCAGGUACACGCGGAGAGGAAACCCGAGUCUUUCGACAGGUGUCAAUGAACCGGUCAACGACGUA
Formica exsecta is the source of this 344-nucleotide long non-coding RNA. RefSeq lists it as uncharacterized. The record is from RefSeq and is a predicted model, not a curated record. Lineage: Eukaryota; Metazoa; Arthropoda; Insecta; Hymenoptera; Formicidae. The transcript is spliced from 3 exons.